GUGUUGGCUUUGGCAGCACAUAUACUAAAAUUGGAAUGAUACAGAGAUGAUUAGCAUGGCCCCUAUGCAAGGGUGACACCCAAAUCUUGAAGCAUUUCAUAUUUUA
RNAcentral lists this small nuclear RNA (106 nucleotides) under Propithecus coquereli (Coquerel's sifaka). The record is from RNAcentral. Lineage: Eukaryota; Metazoa; Chordata; Mammalia; Primates; Indriidae.